This 465-nucleotide ribosomal RNA is filed under the name Vreelandella stevensii. Its description in RNAcentral is "partial 16S ribosomal RNA". It matches the Rfam family "Bacterial small subunit ribosomal RNA", at positions 338 to 795 of the family's 1533-position model. Lineage: Bacteria; Pseudomonadati; Pseudomonadota; Gammaproteobacteria; Oceanospirillales; Halomonadaceae. The record is from RNAcentral.
CCUACGGGGGGCUGCAGUGGGGAAUAUUGGACAAUGGGGGGAACCCUGAUCCAGCCAUGCCGCGUGUGUGAAGAAGGCCCUCGGGUUGUAAAGCACUUUCAGUGAGGAAGAACGCCUGGUGGUUAAUACCCAUCAGGAAAGACAUCACUCACAGAAGAAGCACCGGCUAACUCCGUGCCAGCAGCCGCGGUAAUACGGAGGGUGCGAGCGUUAAUCGGAAUUACUGGGCGUAAAGCGCGCGUAGGUGGCUUGAUAAGCCGGUUGUGAAAGCCCCGGGCUCAACCUGGGAAUGGCAUCCGGAACUGUCAAGCUAGAGUGCAGGAGAGGAAGGUAGAAUUCCCGGUGUAGCGGUGAAAUGCGUAGAGAUCGGGAGGAAUACCAGUGGCGAAGGCGGCCUUCUGGACUGACACUGACACUGAGGUGCGAAAGCGUGGGUAGCAAACAGGAUUAGAUACCCUGGUAGUC